Non-coding RNA from Sus scrofa (pig), 3500 nucleotides. NCBI's taxonomy places the organism in Eukaryota, Metazoa, Chordata, Mammalia, Artiodactyla, Suidae. The record is from RefSeq and is a predicted model, not a curated record.
AUGAGACUUGCCUGAGUCAAGCACUACAAUGGUGAUCACAAAAGUGAACAAUUAGAGUACUUGAAUCAACUCCUUCUGGGUGGCCGUGUUUGUUCAGUUUGGGAUGGAGUCGGCACAGGGAGUUGUAGAAGUCCCAGGAGAGGAUCACAGAUGGAGAGGGAAAUCCAGGGGAUGCUGGGAGAUCACUGUAAGUCAAUAAAUUGCUCAAGAAAGCCAUCAGAACAAGGCAAGCUUCCUUGCCUAGUGGAGGUGCGAGAACUGCCGCAGGUCGUUAGGUGGGGGAUGGGCUGAGGCCUGCAUUCAGAUUAGGACGGAGGGCAGGAGUUUGAGGACCGCCUUCAGCUGAUUUGCAAUACACUCCUUACCGGAUACCAAGGAGGAGCUACUACUCCCAGAAAGGAAGAGGCGGUGUCUUUUCCAGCCCCCACUCCCCUUGGAUGAUAAAACCGGAGCCCACAGGAUCCUCAGGAUAGAGCUUCUGUGCCUGCCCGCCUGCAUCUCUCACAAGCAUCCUAUCUUAAUAAAUCUAUUUCUUGCCAAUCACUUGAUCUCUCGCUGAAUUCCUUCUGCUCGGAGACAUGAAGAAUCUGAACCUCAGUGAGUCCAGACACGGGAUAAAAAGAAGGAAGAAUGAAGAAUGAAGUAGUUAAAGAAUGAGUAGCUCUACCUCCAACAGCCUGCUAAAGAAUCCUGCAAGCAGAUCACUCAGGCAAGAUAAUAUCUGAAGAGAGUCAGCCAGUUUGCAGGCAAUGAAGAAUGAUGCAGAACCCAACUUCUUGCCUCCCUGAUUCACUGACAUUCUCCCCCUCAACCCCCAUUUUUCCCUUUAAGAACUACCACGCCUGGCUGAGCAGAAUCUUUGGAGUUGGUCUCUGGACAAGAGUCCACCUUCUCCCCAGAUUGCCAGCUUUUCUGAUUAAAGCACCUUUCUAGUGACACUUCCUCUUGAAUUAUUGGCUUUUGAGCAGUGAGCUGCCAGUGAGUUCCGUAAAACACAUAGACACAAAGAAAGAAGGCAUGUGAUGACAGAGGCAGAAAUUGGAAUGAGGCAGCCAUAAGCCAAGAAAUGCCAAGGAUCGCCGGGAACCAGCAGAAACUAGGAAGAGGCAAGGAAAUAUUCUUCCCUAAAGCUCUUAGACAGAGCAUGGCCCUGCUGACACUUUGAUUUUGGACUUCUAGCCUCCAGAACCGGGAGCAAGUAAAUUUCUCUUGCUUAAGCCGCUCAGUUUGUGGUACUCUGUUGCAGCAGCCCUAGGAAACUAACAUAGUAAGAUAUUGGGGAAGGAGAAAUAUUCUGUAAUCUUAUGAUGAAAUCUCAAUGGGCCUGAGAUCCUGGGCUUGACCUUCAGAAGCAUUUCCUGGCCUUCUUCUCCCAUUACGUGAGACUGGAAGUGUGGCAGGCCUGGAGUUGUCUCAUUGCCCAUCCCCCAGGAGAGAUAAGGUGCUGGGAAAGCAGUUUCCCUUGAUGGAGGGCCUUUGUUAAGAACAGAAUGCUCUGGGCUGUCGAAGUUGUUACAUUCCCUCUGAGCUUCUUUUAAAAGGGUUACUUUUCUCCUCCCCAUCCCUGAAGCUCUAGGAUUAUUUCCCUACUUUCACAGUGAGAACCCAGUAGGGCUCCUGGAGGAAAACCCCAGGAAAGUGUGGGGCCUCCCUAAGACUGGAACCCCAGCAGAUUUUAACUCUCAAUCUGGUCCACACUCAACCUCCAGCAAUUCAUCCAACCAUUGGUACUCCUGCCAAUUGCUGGCUCCAGUGUCGGUUUCUGCUCCUGGUAAGUGGUGAUUCUCUGUGUUUCCUUCUCUCUCCAGAUUUCAGGGUGACGGUUUCCCCCAUGAUCUGAAUUGUCCAAUAAAUCUAAGAUAAGUUGUUGCUUUUCAGUUUAUUCAGCUUUUUUCAUGUGAGGAUGGAAGUAGCAACUUCCAAGUCUUUAAAUGUAAGAGCUGACCUAUGGUUUUUGUUAUCCAGGAUUGUACAUCAUACUGUCACAGGUUCCUUGGUCCCUGUCUCACUGCAACAAAGCAUUGGAAUGGUAGAUGUUUUAUAAAUGUAUUAAAGUGAAAGUACAUUUUUAGAGAGGGAGAGAGAGAACUCAGGUUGAAAAGAGGGCCCGGCUCACUCUGCAAUAGUCUUUAUACCCCACAAUGCCACCCGAGUGGAGACACAAUUUGAUCUUUUGAUUGGUCUUAGGCAGGCCACUUUAUUUGCAUGGGGAACAGGUUAUAUGGUGCCCGGGUGAGGAAUGGGCGACAUUCCUUCUCUAGCAAGGAGUGAGAAGCCCAGGCUGGCCAAGGUGGGGCAAGGGACAUUACAAUGGGACAUGGCCAGAGCCCUUUGGGUUUAAUCUCCUUGAAGGGACCUUGAAGCCUAUAACAUACCUGGUUUUGUAUUGCAAUUCAAUCUCCCUGCUAAAUCUUUUUUCCUUUUUAAAGGCAUUUUUUCCUCUCUGCUGAAGACUAUAGAGAACAGACAUGGAGUAACAAAAAUGAAAUACACGGGAAAGUUAGAAAGGUCCAGGAUCAUAGAAAAUCUCUCAGAGCGAUGACUUUCUGGUCUGCGAUUCUGAUGUCCCUUCUAGAAAUUUCUUGAAACCUAAGUUACCUCUCUCUGCAUCUGACCUUGGUGGAUGGCGAUCACUGCUGCCAGAAUAUCUUGUUCUUCUUAAAAGUUAUUUAUUGUGUGUUUCCUUGUCUUGCUGUUACUUUGCAGGCAAUUUGAGGUCCAAAUUGCAAGACUGCAGGCAGCUGCCCUUGAUAGCUGCCUGCAGUCUUGCACAAAUCAGUUUGUGAUUAGUACUCUGAGAAAGUCGACCUUUUGUUGAAUCGGGUCCCCCCACUCCCCCACCCCCGCUGAUCUGGUGUAGAAUGAAUCAUAUGUAUUACUGAGUGAUCACUUCCUAGUGUAUGUGCCAGGCACGCAUUCAUGUGUCUAUCCUGUGGGCCUGGCUCUAUAAAGAACAGACGACCCCUAGGAAGAACCUUUUUGAGCCUGACAACUAGAAAUUUGCCCAGACCGUCAAAGCAUGAUCAUUAUACAAAACUUGGGCACUACACCUAAAUAUAAAGAGGAAAAUUAAAAUGAUCCAUAAUCCCGUAGUCAUUAUUUUGGUAUAUAUCUGUUAGGGAAUCAUUGACUGAAACUGCCCACCUUGGCCAGGCAGGUAAUAGCCACGUGCAUGAGUUGUCUCACAGCAGGAAGCCCUGAUAAGGACCUUGGUGCUGCCCUGAAGGCUAACCAGGAGAAUUUGGGAGGGGCCAAUAGGAAGGGGGAGAUGACCAACAUCCCAGCAUCCUUGGCGCUGAAAUCCAUCUUGGCUGAGAGGUGCGUGCACCGCCAGGAAGGACCCUGGGCCAGACCAAAUAUGGGCUGAGCAAGACAACUGGCCAGAGAAAACUUGGAAACUAACCCCAUCCCCAUAAAACCUGAGACAGUUCUCCUGGGUUCUCUUAUCCUGCUGCUCUCCACCUGGGAACACCUUCCCAAUAAAGUCUUUUUGCUUUGCC